ACGCUCGACACCUACGGGAAGCAGCAGUGAGGAAUAUUGGUCAAUGGGCGCUAGCCUGAACCAGCCAAGUAGCGUGAAGGAUGAAGGCUCUAUGGGUCGUAAACUUCUUUUAUAUAAGAAUAAAGUGCAGUAUGUAUACUGUUUUGUAUGUAUUAUAUGAAUAAGGAUCGGCUAACUCCGUGCCAUCACGCCGACGGUAAUCUGAGGCGGGCUGGACAAGGC
Molecule: ribosomal RNA, 222 nt
Filed under: uncultured bacterium
Lineage: Bacteria
Description: partial 16S ribosomal RNA
Rfam family: Bacterial small subunit ribosomal RNA
Source: RNAcentral